RNAcentral lists this small RNA (1974 nucleotides) under Pongo abelii (Sumatran orangutan). RNAcentral describes it as "sense intronic". The record is from RNAcentral. Lineage: Eukaryota; Metazoa; Chordata; Mammalia; Primates; Hominidae.
CUGCUUCUGCUUCUCACUGACGCACGCUGCUGGCACAAGUGGCCUUGUGCCUCCGGACUGGGCCUGAGAAGGGAGGAGUUAUUCAUCCCCCCAAGCUUUCAGGCCCCGGGGAGAAUCUUUCAUUCCUGUCUAUUUGGUUAUAGAAAAUGGGAAAAGGGGCGACUUUCUCAAUAACUACUUCAGGCGUGACAUAGGGGGUGGCGUGGGCACCUCGGAAAAAAAGAAAACCUAAUUUUGGGUGUAUUCUUGAGAGACGGAUUGGUAUCUGUCGUGUCGUUGUAGCAGGAGCAUCGUCUGGAUUGUCUGGUGGUUAACUGUAGUUUCAACAAGAGUUUUAAUGGCUUUUAUUAUCAGUGGGAUAACACAGGGGAGAAACAGGAGGACCCCAGUGAUGAAGAUUACUGUCCUUACCAGUGUUCUAAAUCCUUCUAAGUUAAAGAACCACCCCCCUAGAAGGUUGGUUGGGUCCCAUCCCUUCCAGGUUUGGACUGGUACAUGGGCUACUUUUCUGAUAUUUGAAGCGAUUUCUAGAACCUCUUUUCCGUUAUCGUCUAUGUUAAAACAGCAAUUGGAGAUGUUAAACUUACCACAGACCGCACCCUCUUCUGCUAAUAGUCUAUUGCCAGCCUGUUUUGAUAAAUUGCUGCGCGCAUUUGGUUUUGUUGUCACGCGAGCAUUUCCAGGGCUGAGGCGGUUUGGUUAGUGAUUAUCUCUAGAACAGCCUGUAGUCUAAUUAUUCUAUUUAGCAUAUAUGCGGGAGUGCGAUAACCCCGUGAACCAUCCUCAGCCCAGGUGGCAGGACCGUAAUAUUCGAUGAUCCGUUGCGGAGGCCGCUCGUCCUCUCGCCGUCUUUGGCUUCCUCCUGCCUUUAAGGACCGUUUUUCUCUGGUUAUCAUACGCAGGGACUCCGAGGGUGUUGCCCGCCUGCUUUGGAAGUAAAAUGAAUCCAGGUUUAAUUGUGCCUAGGAAGCAAGUACCUUGCCAGUGAUAAGGUAGCCGUGAGUAAGCCUGGGUUCCCCAUAUCCAGAGGAAUCCAUCAGGGCAGUCCAUCGUCGGCUGGUGUUCCUAGGAUUGUCACAUAGUGCACUUAGGCAGGGGUAGGCGGCAGAAGGGUUAGUGGUGUUUGUACAGUUCCAGGCCUUUUUUGACAAGGCACAAUUUAGGUAGCUUAAGUUAGAAGGAGACCAGGCUCCGGGGGGUAACCUUGGCCACCACUCGGCUGUGGAGGCGUUGACUGUUAGGGUUUGGUGACAGGGGCUUUCACCUACGGCGCCAUGGGUUUUAUCAGUCCACUUGCGGGAUAUGCACGCCGUCCCUCUUACUGGGUUGGUAAGUGUCCAGGUCGGCGGGCGUUCCUGAGAAUUCAAAGUGAGGCUGGGGUUUUGAAAUGCUAGUAAUUAAGGGGGAAUGUCUAUCCCAUACCACGGCCACUGUUCAGUCCUGUGGGCUCCCCCACGUACCCAGCAAUUGGACACAUUCGUGGAAGUGUCCCUGUCUGAUGUAACUGCUACGUGGUACCCGGAUGGCCUCUCUCUGAUCCUCAGGGGUAUCUGUCUUCCGGCCAGCCUUCUUCCUGCUUCUGCUACCGUGCUGACACACGCUGCUGGCGCAAGUGUACCUUGGGACUGGGCCUGAAAAGGCGGGAGUUAUUCAUCCCCCCAAGCUUUCAGGCCCCGGGGAGAGUCUUUCAAUGCUUACAAUCCCAGCACUUUGGGAGACAGAGGUGGGUGGAUCACGAGGCCAAGAGAUCGAGACCAUCCUGGCCAACAUGGUGAAACCCCAUCUCUACUGAAAGUACAAAAAUUAGCCGGGCAUGGUAUCACGCGCCUGUAGUCCCAGCUACUCGGGAGGCUGAGGCAGGAGAAUCCCCUGCACCGGGGAGGUGAACAAUGCAGUGAGCCGAGAUUGCGCCACUGCACUCCAGCCCGGCAACAGAGCAAGACUCCGUCUCAAAAAACAAAACAACAACAAAAC